RNAcentral lists this long non-coding RNA (8658 nucleotides) under Heterocephalus glaber (naked mole-rat). RNAcentral describes it as "lncRNA (ENSHGLG00000039532.1)". The record is from RNAcentral. Lineage: Eukaryota; Metazoa; Chordata; Mammalia; Rodentia; Bathyergidae.
CGGAGGGCGCCCAGCGGGCGGAACGCACGGCAUUGCCCGCCGGUGCCCGGCACAGCUGGGCGUGGGCUUUGUUCGGAGGCGCUCACACCUGCGCGGGGCGAGUUCGUGGGGCGAGGCCGGAUUCCCUCGGCUCCCGCCGCUCCGGAGAGGACUCAGAAGUCGGCGAGGACGGCGGUGCGGGCACUGGCGGGGGGCUUUGUUGGUCUGCGAGUGCGAGCCCGGGAGUCCCAGCACCACACCCAGCCUCUGAGGACCUGACCAGCGCUCCGGGCUCGGGACGGAGGGGAAAAUCCCUUCGCGGAGGCAGCUCCGCCGCGAGCACAGGCAAAUGAGAAGCCCCUUUUGGCCUCUAUUCGUGUCAGAGGCUGAAGUUUCUACCAUCCAUCUGGCUUUAUUGAGGUAUAACUGACAAAUAAAAAUCGCAUAUAUUUAAGGUUGGUGUUUUGAUGGAGAUAUAUGUUGUGAAAUAAUUACCAUAAUCAAACUAGUAACAUAUCCAUCACCUUGAAUGUUGCUUUUUGCAGUGAGAACAUUUAAGAUCUGUUGCCUUAGGAAGUUUCAAGAAUGCAGUACAGCAUGAUUAAACAUAGCCAUCAUGCUAUACAUCACAUCUCUAAUAUUUAUUCCUCCUACCUAACUGAACUUUGUACGCUUUGACCAGCAUCUCCCCAUUUCCCACCCACACCCCACACCCCACUCUGAAAUCACCACUCUACUCUCUGCUCCUGUGAGUUUGGUUAAAAUUUCUAAGAACGAUAAAAUGUACCCAAAUCAAUGAUUAUUGUCUUGGCUUUUUUGUGGGGGGGGGGAGUACCGGGGAUUGAACUUGGGACCUUGUGUUUGCAAAUCAAUGAUUAUUAAUUUUCCCUCUCAAAAUGAGAAAGAGCAGACUACAUGAGGGAGUAAAAUUUAGGAAUGGCUUUGCUUUCAGUUUUAGCAACUUAAAUCCUUCACUAUCAGGUUAUUUUUAAAUGAAGGGACAAGUGCAAUAUAUUGUUAUAAAAUAUGAUGUUAUUGCUGAGUUACUUUUUCAUUGUGGUAAAGCACGUAACAUAUAAAAUUUACAAACUUACCCAUUUUAAAGUACGGUAUAUGGUUUAGUGACAGCAGGUGCAGUGGCGUUGUGUGCAGCCAUCACCACUCUCCGUCUGCAGGACGUUUGUAUCUCCCCAAACUGAGACUUUGACCCAUGAAACAAUAACUUAUCCUUUCUCCCCCAGCCCCUGGCAACCACCAUUCUACUUUGUGUCAUUGAAUUUACCUGCCCUUAGCACAUCAUAGGGUUGGAGUCAUACAGGCUUUGUUCUUUUGUGACUAGCUUGUUUCAUUUAGCGUAAUGUCAUCAAGAUUCAUCCGUGUAUCAAAAUUUCCUUCCCUUGUAUACAUAUUUCAUUCUUCAUAUACUACAUUUUGCUUAUUCAUUCCUCAGCUGGUGGGCACCUGGAUUAUUUCUGCUUUUUGGCUAUUCGUAUGAUUCUGUUGUGAACAUAGGUGUACAGUACAAAUAUCUGUUUGAGUCUCUGCUUUGAAUUUGUUUGGGUAUAUACUCAGAAAUGAAACUGCUGGGUCAGAUAGUGCUUAUAUUUUAACAUUUCUGAGGAGCCACCUUCCUGUUCUCUGUAGCAGCUGCAUCAUCUUACAUUCCCACCACCUGUGCAUAGGGGUUUGAGUUUCUCCACAUCAUCCUUGACACUUGUUACUUUCUGUUUUCUUGAUAAUGGCUAACCUAAUGGGUAGGAGAUGCUGUCCCUGUACUUUCUAAAGUUUUUACUAAAAGGAGACAUAGAUUCCAACAAGUUUUGAUUGGCUACAUGCAUUUGUGUAAAGCAUGGAAUAGAUGCUGUGCAGUAUGUGUAUUGUCAUAUCCAGGAUAGGAAAGCACUAUUGACAUACUCUUGUGGAUUUUUUUGUUUUCAUUCAGGGUCUCACCAUGUAGUUCAGGCUGACCUUGAACUCACUAUGUAGCCAAGGCUGCCCUUGAACUCCCAGAGAUCCUCCUGCCUCGCCUCCUGAGCACUGGGAUUAUAGGCGUGUGCCACCACGCCUAGCCUCUUGUUGAUUUCUUUAAGAGCGUGAAUUGAAGUGUAUAUGUCUCUGGUGCACUCGUGCCAAAUGUUCUUGCUACAAGAGUAGAUUAAAUUAGUAUGCGGUGGCAUUAUUGGCCCCCCAUAUGACAUUAUUAUUUUAAUUCUGGUCAAGAGCAAAUUAGAUCUAAAAAUAGAUUGGAAUAUCUUUAUGCUGAAUGUGUAGGGAUGUGCUGGAGUUGUAAAUUACAGUUCUGCAUUGGACAUUUCUACUCACCAUUGAAUCUUCAAAGAUGACAGCAUAAACCCUUGCCACCCAAUUAUAAUUGCUUAGCCAAGCUAAUAAAAAAGAUGUGGUGUCAACUUAAUCGACCUAUUUUCCUGGCCUACAAGAUUGGAAUUUCAAAUUAGAAAAAAAAUUUAACAGUCUGAUGCAGGAUUUCCCUCAAGUGACUAAAAAGCUAGUGGGUAUAAGAAAUGCCAGUGGCAAAAGGAACAAAUUUACCACUACUAAUUCUACUCCAUGGCUCAACCUGUCCAGAUGGCUUACUCAGCUUAAAAACAGAAAUGACAAAUCCUAUCUUGUGUUAUAUGUUCUCUGAUUUUCUUCUAUAUUGCCCUGUAUUAAAGCAUUGUUAAAUUCAUGUGAGAAUGAAAUGACUGUUACUAUUGGACAAAAAGGAUGCUUUACAAAUCCUUAUUAUUAAAUGAUAGGAGGACUGGAAAAAGUUUUUUGAAUAUAUAUUCAUAUAUAUUUAAAUUUUAUGAUGUGUAUGGUAUAUUGGUUCAAAAUCCAUUGUUGCCAGAAAAACCAUUCCCAGGGUAAUCUGAGGGAAUCCUGUAGGAGGUCUUCCACUGGGUAAUAUGCAAUGAAUUUGAUUUAUCUUUCUCAAGUGGGCUGAGAGCAUUCAAAAAAUUCAGUACAUGUAUUCAGCAUGUAGUGAUCUUUUUUCCAAAUUUCAACUUUAAAGCUAAUUCCAUGCCACUUUCAGAUGUCUCGGCAUUUGAAUGUAUGCUUUACAGUAUGCAUUUUUGAUGAACAUUACAAGCCCAUGUUAAACACCAUGAACAGAUUCUCUCUCAAGGGAAAGGGAGAGGAAAAGUACUAAUCUUCCACUAAUUACGCCUUAAGGUAAGAAUGAACUGUGAAAGAGGUUCAUCCUGGAGUUUUUCUGGUUCUUUGAGGGAGGAUGGCUUGUGAGCAAGCAUGCUGCCGCCUUCCAAAGCUUGGUGCGCCUUUUCAGUCUCUUACCUCAAUAGAGAGCUGAAAGGACAAAAGUGAACAAAGGAGGCCUGUUUUGCCUGCCCCACUUGCUGGGCUGUUGUCUUGGCCCUUUUCAGUGAAGGGAGGGGGGGUGUUGGGUCAAAGUUGAAGAACACUGAAAAGGAAUUCAAGCUUCAUGUUGAAAUUUGAAUUAUAGCUUCAGUUUGAGUGCUCUGUAGAUUAGUUGGAAUUAAAAUUUUUGAAUGUAUGGAAGCCUAAGUGACAGAUGGUGUUGGAACAACGCACAUAGUGCUGGGUGGUGUACCCGAAAUGUUGAGUGCCCAGGCAAGGCACUCAGUAAACAUCUAGUUAAAUGACAAAAGUUGGAAAACUGUAGGACGUGCAGCUCGAUGCUGUACACCCCAUGAAGACAUUGCACCGUGCGAAUUAAGGAGAGGCCCCUGUGUCUGGCAUACACUCAGAUGCACUUGGCCCCUCUAAUUGCAUUGCAAAUAUUCUUCUGACUGUUUCGCAGUGUUCCCCUCUCCUAUCUAGUUAAAUCAGUACAGAAAUGCCCAGCUAGCUUCCCUUGUAAAAUUACAGUCUUUUGCUGUUGUCUUCAGAGUGUUUGAUAUAUAAGAUAAAACUUUUGCAAAUACUGACUACCCAGUGUUUUUCCCUUCUGUGAAUAUCCUUAUGAAGAGUGAUUUUUUGCUUUCUGGUUCCAGUGUGGGGAGGUCAAUUACUCUUAUAUUUGCUAUUGAAGUUUUUGUAUGGCAUUUAGUUCUCCAUUCAAUUUGGUAGGCAGCAUCUGAUUUAAAAUGUUUUAAUUGGAGAAGUUAGUUGUAUAUGUAACUAGAAUAACAAAACAGCUACUAGGAAGAAGAGGUUACUAGACUGUAAAGAAAAUUUUUAAAAAGCUAGGGGUAAUUUGAAACUUUUCCUAGUAUCCCAUAAAGCUACUACUAGAAAUUGAAAAAUUGUAGUAUUUGAAAACUGGAAUAGUGAAAGUUGAAAAAUUAUCAAAUUUUGCUUUGUCAUCUUUGACUACUUAAAUGACUUGAUGACAUAGUCUUUUGUUCUGAUAUUUGUAGCAUGAUGGUUAAAAUCCAUUUUAUAUACAUGUUUAAUACAUUUAAAUAAAUAUCUCUUCUUUUAGGGACUUGAGAGUGAUAUGAGCAAAACAGUAAGGUAGAAAUUCAGACAUAAGUAAUACUAUAAUAUAAACAAAAGCUAAUUUGCUUCAGAAUUGAUCAUAUUGCCUUAUAUGACAUGAUAUAUGUAUUUUACAUAAGUUGUGGUAUAUACUUUGUAUAUCUCAUAAAUUUUAAGGUAAAUUGCAUUUUAAUAGAUGAAGUGUGUUAAGACACCAUGCCUGUAAUCUAUAUGUUACUAGCAACUGUUACCAUGAUGCAGAAUUGUAGUGGAAGGUAAGUGAUGUAUCAGGGAUUGAUUGCUGUCCUGGUUCUGCUAAACCACAGAGAAUGAGGGAGUUCAUGGUCAGUGGUUUCCUGUGUGGGGACUGGGAAUGGAAGAUUAGGGAUGAGAGAGUGUGAGGGCUUCAGAUAAAGGGAGGCUCAGGUGAGUAAUGAGAAUUCUGACAACUUGAAGAAGUGUCCUAAAGCAGAAGGAGUGAGAGAAAAUUUAAAUAAUGAAGACAGUGAAGAGGAGAGCACUGUAAAGGUAAUAACUUAAAACAGGAAAGUAUAAGAAAGGGAGGAGAAUAAAAAUUGUAUAGUGAUUGCUUGGCUAAUGGAGGAUAGUCUCCAUUUCAUUGCAUCUAAUCCUAAACAUCUUAGAGAUAUUUUAUUGUGGGACUUUAGGCCACCCAAGUGACUUGCUAUCGUAAAAUAGAAAUAACUCUUAAAUCACCCUGCAAAAAUGAAAUGUGAUAGCACUUUUAGAGUUAAUAGAAACGUAUUAAGAAUUUUCCAAGUCAAAGCUAAAGUUGUUUCAUCAUAACAGUUAAAUUCUUAGCUAGAUCAGCUCUUCUUUCUGGCUAUUUUGUUCCUGUAUAUACAGGUGGCCCCAGCUUGAGGAAGUUAGAAAUGUAAAAAUGUGAACUUGGAAAACCUAUUUGGGGUAAUUAUUCAUGUCAAACAGGAUUCUUCACUGUGCAUAGGAUGGUAUGGUGAGUGAACUCCUAUAAUGUAUCAAAGUUAAGUUCAGGAACAAUUUUUCAGGAUCAUCUAAGUAGAGAGUUUCUUCCGUCAACUGAAGGAGCAUAGCAUAAUAGAUACCCAGUGAAACCUGAGCAAAUAAGGCUAGAUAAAAGUCAGGUGGACAGGUCGUACAUGAAGAGAAGUAACUUAACUGCAUGAAAAUACUUGAUAUUUUCUCUCAAUAACAUUGAGCGGCCAGGUCCCUCCAUGAUAAAGAAAAGUAGAAAAAAUAGUCUGAAGUUUGUCAGCUUUCCUUGGGUCUCUGACCACAGAAACUGAGUUCUUUCUCUGUUCCAUUAGGAGCCUGAGAUGCUUUUCUCAUUGUGGCUGGUGUAUGUAUGUGAGAGCCCCAUAUUUGAAGAAUGAAUGAGCAAAAGAAUGAAUGACCAGAUACAUGAAUAUUGCAGAAUAUCAGAAUGUCAGGUAGAUCUUUUGUUGGACAAAGCAGGGGAUUUUCGGCCCUGGAUUGAAGACAUAGAUGAAGUCUAGACCAUAGCAAAUCAAACAUUCAUAAUUUCAUGCUUGGAUUCUGUAGAUUGUAAUUUGCUUCCUGAUUCUAAAUUAGGGACUUGAGCAGGCGGUUGAAAUGAUUCAAUCCAGAAGGGUACCAUUUUUAAAAUUGCAGUCAUGGAAUCCUAAAUGCUAUCUCUGUGACCCUGAAGAGUGUCUCUAUAAUUUUCCACCUUUGCUCACGACAGAUGAUUCCAGAUUUGCACACAGCUUUCCUUCCCCUCUGCUGUCUGAAACUGGUGCUUGUCAUUCCCCACCGGAGGUGUCUGGGUGGCUGCACACUGAUUGAGUUAAGCACUUUCUGAGAUUGCUUUCCACCAUCUGAGUGUGAAGAAAUCAGAAGUGAGGCACACAGGACAGAAAUGAAAAGUGAGAAGGCUGGCAGGCCAGCACAUGAGGAGCUCAGCACUCAUGCUGAAGCUUCACAAACAGAAUCUCCUUUCCUUGGUGGUGGGUCAUUAGCACUCCUCUCUGUUGUUUGCCACAUCUUUUUUUUUUUUUUGGUAUCGGGGAUCGAACUUGGGACCUUGAGUUUUCGAGGCAGGCAGCGGAAAUACUGAGCUAAAUCCGUGACUCUCACAUCUGUUGUUUUAUUCCAAGAUGUGAGCUGAGUUACUUCAUGGCCUUUCUCAACUAGUUAGGGGGUUAGAUCAAUUAGGAAAUGUCAUUAUACUACAUCACUUUGAAAAUUGACUAAGUGCCUCAUUUUCCUUUGUAGAAAAUAGAGAUAAAACAUUAAAACAUUUUUACCACCCAACCUUACUUCACCAAGAUAUGUAAAUACGUAAUAAAUGAUGAUAAAAACAAAAGUACCGAAGGAAUGAUGAUAUGACUCUAUAUUACUGUUAGGUACAAUGUGCCUGCCAUUUUUUUUCCCACCAUAACAUUCUGGCAAAAUUUGCUUCAGGGAUUGAUAUGUAUGUAUCAUAUAACCUUAGCGACAGCUAUAUCUAUCUUGAUUUUGAAUAAAUGAAGUAGUCUCAAGCUGCAGUGUGAGACCCCAAUACCCUUAUUGAUGGGGCGUGAUGGAUCUGUUUUUUAAAAACAUUAUAUUGAGUCAGAUUGAGUCAACAUGACAGAGAUGUAAAUUCAGCAGAUAUUUUUCCCUAUUUGCAUUUCUGUCACCAGUAGAAUCUUAAAAUUUGAUUGUGUUUCUUUCAAGCCAUAAUCUCAUUCAUAUUUAUCAAGAGGAGAUUCAGUAAUUUGUUUUGUGUCCGCCAUGACUAACUAGCAACCUCACAAAUCAAUAAAGCAUGAAACCAUUGUAAUAUAUUCAUCCAACCUGCAAACUCCAUAUGCUCAGAAAUUUGAUAUAAAGAGAUUUAUGUAUGAGGCUUGUGGGCAGAUUUGUUUAUACCAUUGGUCUUCAGAAGACUAAUUCUGCUAACACCUUGAUUCUGAAAGGUAGAUUUCUGGCUUCCAGAAUUGCAAGACAAUAAAAUUCUGUUGUUUAAGUCCUUCAGUUUGAGGUGCUUUGAUACAGCAGCCCUAGCAAACUGACAACACAGUAAUAAGUUUACCUGUUGCUAAACCUAUUCCUUACAAAAAAGAAAGGGUAAAAGUGUAGCUUCCCUGUGCCUCCAUGUUCCUAUAUUUGCAUCUAUAUAUUCUAUAUAUAUAGUUUGUGUAUCAUAGGAGUAUAUAUGUACAUAUAUAAGGUAUUAAGAGAGUCACUGUACCUUGAAUUGAGAUUCAGACCUGCUGGGAUUUGUGGGGGGAAUAUUAUUUGUAUAAACUGCACAAAUAGAUGAAGUUGGGAGUUGAUUACCCUUUUUGGUAAUAAUCAAGUUGACUGCAACUUGGUUGCCCCAUCAAGUGUAAAUUGUCAUCACCUUGAAACUCAAGGGGCUAUAUUUUGUUAAAGUCUCUUCAGGUGCCUUUGGUGCUCCUUGCAAAUUCAAAGGUUUUUUUGGACAGGAAAAUGAUAUGAUUGUUGGUAUUUACUCAUGCUGAGGAAAGCAAAGCCUCAGACAAGCUCUCAGACAACUUCCAUCUGAAUGCUGCUACCAUGGGGAAGGGAAAGGAUGUCACUGUGAGAAGUUCUCAGCUGUCAUCACAUGGCACCACUGACUAUUUGAGGAAGCAGGACUGCCAUGAGAUUUGGAUAAACUUGAAUGCUAGUUUGAACAUUGUAAACUCUAAAACCAUUUCAGCCAGCCCUUUCUGAUGUCUUCCCAUUUCGUGUGAAUGUCUGCUCUUCAUUUCCAGCAGCAGCAGCAGCAUGGCCUGUCUUAGCUGUUAAGCUCCUCUGGGCAGUGACCUGACUGUUAAGAUUGUGUGCAUGGCAUUUAGUGGGCAGCUCCAUCCAAAAAGAGGCCUCAGGGGCUGGGGAUUUAGCUCAGUGGUUCCACCACCUGCUGGGCAAGCUCAAGGUCCCAAGUUCCAUCCCUGGUACCAAAAAAUACCCAACCAAACAAAAAGCCUCAUUGUUUUAAAUAAUACCAAUAAUCCCAGUGCAGAGGAGGAGGCUUCCGGGCCGCCUCCCAGGGCAGAGGAAGAGGCUUCUGGGUCAACGUGCCACUGCUCCCAGCACAGAGGAGGGGAGCCUCGCCGGCGCCAGUAGCACUACCCCGCCCCCCCGCCAUCGAAAUGAGAAGAUGCAUAAACAAGCCUCACAACCAGACUUCCAGAUCACCUAAAGCAACCCCAAAAGGAAACGAGAUGGCGUACUCUGAUACUCAACCACCUAGACUCUCCAAACUGGCAACAAAAGAGGAUCUGGAAAAAUGAAAUCAGAAAUAAUUUCUCAGAUAACAGC